CUCUCUGAGAAGGAGAAGAAGUAUUUACAUUAGAAGUCUGAUUCACAGGUCGGGGCAAAGUGAAAAACAUCUGCACUUUUAAAAGAGAGGUCAAAAGUCCGUCUGACUCACCUGUGCUGAGUGACUUGAAUGCCAUCUAAUCUAACUUCAAGGUGAGGACAGUCUGUUCUGAAGGUCUACACAUUAAUGCUUCCUAUUGGGAAUUCAAAUCGGCAAUUUGUUCUUCUUCUGGUUGUUUGAAUCUUCAAAAUAGAGGGAAGACACCUGGAUGAAACAUUUUCACAGACUCUGCAAUUCCCUUAAGAGGAUCCCAGAGCCCUUAAGCUUCUCUUAGAUUCCUCUGAUUUUUUUCAGCCCAAGGACUGUUACCACAUGUCUUCCAUCUUGCCCACAAUUUUAGCAGAUCAUCAGGAUACUUGCCAACAAGGUCACAGUGGACUCCAUGGAGCAACUGCCCUCAGGAGGCAACAGGUCACAGUGUUUGGACACCGCAUGAACAUGCCAAUUUCCUGUGUUGUAAUAUUUUUAUGCACUUUAAGAAGACCACCAGAAACAGCAGAGUGAGUGAAUGACUGAGGCGCAUAUUGGACAAAAAUCACUUAUCCAAGACCACGUUACUACAACCCCAGGGCACAGAAGCUAAGUCUUCCUAUUGUACUGAACUCAGUUGACUGGAAUUUGUUCAGGAAAGCAUGAAGUCAAAUGGAAGCUAGUCCGUGACUGGAUUCAUCUUUUGGUAAAAAACGAAGAGGAGACCCCAUAUCCUGGAGGUUCUUGCUUAACCCUGUCCCUAAUAAGACCUAACUUUAUGAGUCUUCUCCUUAGAGGCAGUCCUAGGGUAAGAGUGAUUAUUCCUGUGAGCCUUGUAGGUACUUUCGAAUCAAG
RNAcentral lists this long non-coding RNA (885 nucleotides) under Homo sapiens (human). RNAcentral's name for it is "non-protein coding LINC01811:21". The record is from RNAcentral. Lineage: Eukaryota; Metazoa; Chordata; Mammalia; Primates; Hominidae.